This 476-nucleotide ribosomal RNA is filed under the name uncultured bacterium. RNAcentral describes it as "bacterial SSU rRNA". It matches the Rfam family "Bacterial small subunit ribosomal RNA", at positions 328 to 793 of the family's 1533-position model. The record is from RNAcentral.
CGCUAUCACUCCUACGGGGAGGCAGCAGUGGGGAAUAUUGCACAAUGGGGGAAACCCUGAUGCAGCCAUGCCGCGUGUGUGAAGAAGGCCUUCGGGUUGUAAAGCACUUUCAGUAGGGAGGAAGGUAGUGUAGUUAACACCUGCAUUAUUUGACGUUACCUACAGAAGAAGCACCGGCUAACUCCGUGCCAGCAGCCGCGGUAAUACGGAGGGUGCGAGCGUUAAUCGGAAUUACUGGGCGUAAAGCGCAUGCAGGCGGCCUGUUAAGUCAGAUGUGAAAGCCCGGGGCUUAACCUCGGAAUUGCAUUUGAAACUGGCAGGCUAGAGUCUUGUAGAGGGGGGUAGGAAUUUCAGGUGUAGCGGUGAAAUGCGUAGAGAUCUGAAGGAAUACCAGUGGCGAAGGCGGCCCCCUCGGACAAAGACUGACGCUCAGAUGCGAAAGCGUGGGGAGCAAACAGGAUUAGAUACCCUGGUAG